Molecule: small RNA, 847 nt
Filed under: Cryptococcus neoformans H99
Lineage: Eukaryota; Fungi; Basidiomycota; Tremellomycetes; Tremellales; Cryptococcaceae
Description: Cryptococcus neoformans var. grubii H99 hypothetical RNA
Source: RNAcentral
UCAAAGCCGCCUCCACUUCCCAAAUUAUUUACUGCUAAUCAGAAUCUCAGGGCCGACUGCUCAACCGAUAAUCACCGCAUGAGGGAUCUUGUCCUGUACGUCUAGGGUAUGGGGGCUUCCCGCUGAUUAGUAAAAAUAUCAAGGAAGGUGUUGCGUGCCCGGCGCCAGGCGAAGCAGCAGCAGCAGCACGUUUAUCGCGCGACACUAUCAACGAACAUGAUGGCUACUUUAAAAAACAGUUUCCCGAGCUUUCAUCGGAUCUUCACUGAUUCAUUUUUUGCGCAUCUUUUCUGCACCAUCUUGACCACAUGCAUUAUCGCUGGCACUACUAUAAUCCAGCCCCAGUUAUUACGUUCCAUCUACACCACUUCAUGUACUAUCUAUCGUCGUCGCAUCUUGGCGAUUUUAGAGUAUCGUUAUUAUGGCAUGAUGCUCAUUUUUACAACGACUUUCGUUGUGGGCUCAUUGCGGCUUCGUUUGAUUGGGAUGAGAGUCAUUGUCGUCAUCGGUCUCGACCCGAAAAUCUGUGGAGUGGACCGACUAUUUGCUUCGUUAUCAUGCCGUAACAAUACGAUAACCAAAAAGAAACUGGAAGAAUCAGUUGUACCAUGAUGUUGCUCAAGUCCGUCAUUUGUGCGACGAUUUCGUUAUCUACCGUUUGCUGUUUCUGCUGCUGAUUACUCCCUUCACUCUUGGCGCACGAGACCAGAUUUGGGUGGGGCCUUGACUUGAGGUAAUAAAUUAACCGCAGGUUUUUUGUGUGAUUUGAUUGACCAAUCUCCGCCAAUCGAAAAUUAAUGCAUACUCUCAUCGUCUGCUAUAUAGUUGUAUUUUUCAUAGGGCCAAA